CCUACGGGAGGCAGCAGUGGGGAAUAUUGCACAAUGGGGGGAACCCUGAUGCAGCGACGCCGCGUGAGCGAUGAAGUAUUUCGGUAUGUAAAGCUCUAUCAGCAGGGAAGAAAAUGACGGUACCUGACUAAGAAGCCCCGGCUAACUACGUGCCAGCAGCCGCGGUAAUACGUAGGGGGCAAGCGUUAUCCGGAUUUACUGGGUGUAAAGGGAGCGUAGACGGCUGUGCAAGUCUGGAGUGAAAGGCAUGGGCUCAACCUGUGGACUGCUGUGGAAACUGUGCGGCUGGAGUGUCGGAGAGGCAAGUGGAAUUCCUAGUGUAGCGGUGAAAUGCGUAGAUAUCAGGAGGAACACCGGUGGCGAAGGCGGCCUGCUGGACUGCAACUGACGUUGAGGCCCGAAAGCGUGGGGAGCAAACAGGAUUAGAUACCCGGGUAGUC
This 440-nucleotide ribosomal RNA is filed under the name uncultured bacterium. RNAcentral's name for it is "partial 16S ribosomal RNA". It matches the Rfam family "Bacterial small subunit ribosomal RNA", at positions 338 to 795 of the family's 1533-position model. The record is from RNAcentral.